RNAcentral lists this ribosomal RNA (145 nucleotides) under Listeria aquatica FSL S10-1188. Its description in RNAcentral is "partial 23S ribosomal RNA". It matches the Rfam family "Bacterial large subunit ribosomal RNA", at positions 2782 to 2925 of the family's 2925-position model. The record is from RNAcentral. Lineage: Bacteria; Bacillati; Bacillota; Bacilli; Caryophanales; Listeriaceae.
UAAGCGUGAAGCCCCCCCUCAAGAUGAGAUUUCCCAUUUCUUUAAGAAAGUAAGAUCCCUGAAAGAUGAUCAGGUAGAUAGGUUUGGAGUGGAAGUAUGGCGACAUAUGGAGCGGACAAAUACUAAUCGAUCGAGGACUUAACCU